This 253-nucleotide ribosomal RNA is filed under the name uncultured bacterium. RNAcentral describes it as "partial 16S ribosomal RNA". It matches the Rfam family "Bacterial small subunit ribosomal RNA", at positions 524 to 776 of the family's 1533-position model. The record is from RNAcentral.
GACGAACCGAGCGAACGUUGUUCGGAAUCACUGGGCUUAAAGGGCGCGUAGGCGGGCUGCCAAGUUUGGGGUGAAAUCCUCCGGCUCAACCGGGGAAGGGCCUCGAAUACUGGCGGUCUGGAGGGAGGUAGGGGCGUGCGGAACUGUAGGUGGAGCGGUGAAAUGCGUUGAUAUCUACAGGAACACCAAUGGCGAAGGCAGCUCGCUGGGACGGUACUGACGCUGAGACGCGAAAGCGUGGGGAGCAAACAGG